This 404-nucleotide ribosomal RNA is filed under the name uncultured Eubacteriales bacterium. RNAcentral's name for it is "bacterial SSU rRNA". It matches the Rfam family "Bacterial small subunit ribosomal RNA", at positions 356 to 774 of the family's 1533-position model. The record is from RNAcentral. Lineage: Bacteria; Bacillati; Bacillota; Clostridia; Eubacteriales.
GGGGAAUAUUGCACAAUGGGGGAAACCCUGAUGCAGCAACGCCGCGUGAAGGAUGAAGGUUUUCGGAUUGUAAACUUCUUUGAUGAGGGACGAAAAAAAUGACGGUACCUCAAAAACAAGCCACGGCUAACUACGUGCCAGCAGCCGCGGUAAUACGUAGGUGGCAAGCGUUGUCCGGAUUUACUGGGCGUAAAGGGCGCGUAGGCGGCUCUUUAAGUUAGAUGUGAAAACCCAGGGCUCAACCCUGGGAGUGCAUUUAAAACUGAAGGGCUCGAGUGCAGGAGAGGUAAGUGGAAUUCCUAGUGUAGCGGUGAAAUGCGUAGAUAUUAGGAGGAACACCAGUGGCGAAGGCGACUUACUGGACUGUAACUGACGCUGAGGCGCGAAAGCGUGGGGAGCAAACA